This 964-nucleotide ribosomal RNA is filed under the name uncultured bacterium. RNAcentral describes it as "bacterial SSU rRNA". It matches the Rfam family "Bacterial small subunit ribosomal RNA", at positions 8 to 1017 of the family's 1533-position model. The record is from RNAcentral.
AGAGUUUGAUCAUGGCUCAGAGCGAACGCUGGCGGCAGGCUUAACACAUGCAAGUCGAGCGGGCAUAGCAAUAUGUCAGCGGCAGACGGGUGAGUAACGCGUGGGAACAUACCUUUUGGUUCGGAACAACCCAGGGAAACUUGGGCUAAUACCGGAUAAGCCCUUACGGGGAAAGAUUUAUCGCCGAAAGAUUGGCCCGCGUCUGAUUAGCUAGUUGGUGAGGUAAUGGCUCACCAAGGCGACGAUCAGUAGCUGGUCUGAGAGGAUGAUCAGCCACAUUGGGACUGAGACACGGCCCAAACUCCUACGGGAGGCAGCAGUGGGGAAUAUUGGACAAUGGGCGCAAGCCUGAUCCAGCCAUGCCGCGUGAGUGAUGAAGGCCCUAGGGUUGUAAAGCUCUUUUGUGCGGGAAGAUAAUGACGGUACCGCAAGAAUAAGCCCCGGCUAACUUCGUGCCAGCAGCCGCGGUAAUACGAAGGGGGCUAGCGUUGCUCGGAAUCACUGGGCGUAAAGGGUGCGUAGGCGGGUCUUUAAGUCAGGGGUGAAAUCCUGGAGCUCAACUCCAGAACUGCCUUUGAUACUGAAGAUCUUGAGUUCGGGAGAGGUGAGUGGAACUGCGAGUGUAGAGGUGAAAUUCGUAGAUAUUCGCAAGAACACCAGUGGCGAAGGCGGCUCACUGGCCCGAUACUGACGCUGAGGCACGAAAGCGUGGGGAGCAAACAGGAUUAGAUACCCUGGUAGUCCACGCCGUAAACGAUGAAUGCCAGCCGUUAGUGGGUUUACUCACUAGUGGCGCAGCUAACGCUUUAAGCAUUCCGCCUGGGGAGUACGGUCGCAAGAUUAAAACUCAAGGAAUUGACGGGGCCCGCACAAGCGGUGGAGCAUGUGGUUUAAUUCGACGCAACGCGCAGAACCUUACCAGCCCUUGACAUCCCGGUCGCGGACUCCAGAGACGGAGUUCUUC